CGUAGGGUGCGAGCGUUAAUCGGAAUUACUGGGCGUAAAGCGUGCGCAGGCGGUUUGUUAAGAUAGGCGUGAAAUCCCCGGGCUCAACCUGGGAACUGCGCUUAUGACUGGCAAGCUAGAGUACGGCAGAGGGGGUGGAAUUCCACGUGUAGCAGUGAAAUGCGUAGAGAUGUGGAGGAACACCAAUGGCGAAGGCAGCCCCCUGGGUCGAUACUGACGCUCAUGCACGAAAGCGUGGGUAGCAAACAGGAUUAGAUACCCUGGUAGUCCACGCCCUAAACGAUGUCAACUAGGUGUUGGGAGGGUAAAACCUUUUGUACCGGAGCUAACGCGUGAAGUUGACCGCCUGGGGAGUACGGCCGCAAGGUUA
RNAcentral lists this ribosomal RNA (370 nucleotides) under uncultured organism. Its description in RNAcentral is "bacterial SSU rRNA". It matches the Rfam family "Bacterial small subunit ribosomal RNA", at positions 526 to 896 of the family's 1533-position model. The record is from RNAcentral.